This 985-nucleotide ribosomal RNA is filed under the name uncultured bacterium. Its description in RNAcentral is "bacterial SSU rRNA". It matches the Rfam family "Bacterial small subunit ribosomal RNA", at positions 74 to 1029 of the family's 1533-position model. The record is from RNAcentral.
UCCCGCUUGCGGGAAAGAGUAAAGCGGCGCACGGGUGAGUAAUGCAUGAAUAACCUGCCCUUAGGUCUGGGAUAACCCCGUGAAAAUGGGGUUAAUACCGGAUAAUAUCCAUUUAACCAUGGUUGAGUGGGUUAAAGAUGGCCUCUGCUUGCAAGCUAUCGCCUGAAGAGGGGUUCGUGUCCCAUCAGCUAGUUGGUAAGGUAACGGCUUACCAAGGCUAAGACGGGUAGCUGGUCUGAGAGGACGACCAGCCACAUUGGCACUGAAACACGGGCCAAACUCCUACGGGAGGCAGCAGUGGGGAAUAUUGCGCAAUGGGCGAAAGCCUGACGCAGCGACGCCGCGUGAGGGAAGAAGGUCUUCGGGUUGUAAACCUCUGUCAGGUGGGAAGAACCUCUCCUUAUCAAAUAGAUUUGGAGAGUUGACGGUACUACCAAAGGAAGCACCGGCUAACUCCGUGCCAGCAGCCGCGGUAAUACGGAGGGUGCAAGCGUUGUUCGGAAUUACUGGGCGUAAAGAGAUCGUAGGUGGCUUUGUAAGUCAGAUGUGAAAUACUCUUGCUCAACGAGAGAAUUGCAUUUGAAACUGCAUGGCUUGAGUACGGGAGAGGGAAGUGGAAUUCCAGGUGUAGCGGUGAAAUGCGUAGAUAUCUGGAAGAACACCGGUGGCGAAGGCGACUUCCUGGGACCGAUACUGACACUGAGGAGCGAAAGCGUGGGGAGCAAACAGGAUUAGAUACCCUGGUGGUCCACGCCGUAAACGAUGGGCACUAGGUGUAGGGGGUUUAUCCUUCUGUGCCGAAGCUAACGCAUUAAGUGCCCCGCCUGGGGAGUACGGUCGCAAGGCUAAAACUCAAAGGAAUUGACGGGGGCCCGCACAAGCGGUGGAGCUUGUGGUUUAAUUCGAUGCAACGCGAAGAACCUUUCCUGGGCUUGACAUCUCCCGAAUUCCGAUGAAAAUCGGAAGUGCCCCUUCGGGGGAACGG